CCUACGGGUGGCAGCAGUCGAGAAUCAUUCACAAUGGGGGAAACCCUGAUGGUGCGACGCCGCGUGGGGGAAUGAAGGUCUUCGGAUUGUAAACCCCUGUCAUGUGGGAGCAAAUUAAAAAGAUAGUACCACAAGAGGAAGAGACGGCUAACUCUGGGCCAGCAGCCGCGGUAAUACAGAGGUCUCAAGCGUUGUUCGGAAUCACUGGGCGUAAAGCGUGCGUAGGCUGUUUCGUAAGUCGUGUGUGAAAGGCGCGGGCGCAACCCGCGGACGACACAUGAUACUGCGAGACUAGAGUAAUGGAGGGGGAACCGGAAUGCUCGGUGUAGCAGUGAUAUGCGUAGAUAUCGAGAGGAACACUCGUGGCGAAGGCGGGUUCCUGGACAUUAACUGACGCUGAGGCACGAAGGCCAGGGGAGCGAAAGGGAUUAGAUACCCUGGUAGUC
This 446-nucleotide ribosomal RNA is filed under the name uncultured bacterium. RNAcentral describes it as "partial 16S ribosomal RNA". It matches the Rfam family "Bacterial small subunit ribosomal RNA", at positions 338 to 795 of the family's 1533-position model. The record is from RNAcentral.